UACGGAGGAUGCAAGCGUUAUCCGGAUUUAUUGGGUUUAAAGGGUGCGCAGGUUGUUUGAUAAGUCAGUGGUGAAAGUCUGUCGCUUAACGGUAGGAUUGCCAUUGAUACUGUUGGACUUGAAUAUGGAUGAGGUAGGCGGAAUGUGUAGUGUAGCGGUGAAAUGCAUAGAUAUUACACAGAACACCGAUUGCGAAGGCAGCUUACUAAUCCAUCAUUGACGCUGAGGCGCGAAAGCGUGGGGAUCAAACA
This 251-nucleotide ribosomal RNA is filed under the name uncultured prokaryote. Its description in RNAcentral is "partial 16S ribosomal RNA". It matches the Rfam family "Bacterial small subunit ribosomal RNA", at positions 524 to 774 of the family's 1533-position model. The record is from RNAcentral.